RNAcentral lists this long non-coding RNA (3197 nucleotides) under Salmo salar (Atlantic salmon). RNAcentral's name for it is "lncRNA (ENSSSAG00000103034.1)". Lineage: Eukaryota; Metazoa; Chordata; Actinopteri; Salmoniformes; Salmonidae. The record is from RNAcentral.
GGCUCCCUGUCCAUCUGGUAUCGUAGGUCUAUAGUUUUUGGCUCCCUGUCCAUCUGGUAUCGUAGGUCUAUAGUGUUUGGCUCCCUGUCCAGCUGGUAUCGUAGGUCUAUAGUGUUUGUCUCCCUGUCCAUCUGGUAUCGUAGGUCUAUAGAGUUUGGCUCCCUGUCCAGCUGGUAUCGUAGGUCUAUAGUGUUUGUCUCCCUGUCCAUCUGGUAUCGUAGGUCUAUAGAGUUUGGCUCCCUGUCCAGCUGGUAUCGUAGAUCUAUAGUGUUUGGCUCCCUGUCCAGCUGGUAUCGUAGGUCUAUAGUUUUUGGCUCCCUGUCCAUCUGGUAUCGUAGGUCUAUAGUUUUUGGCUCCCUGUCCAGCUGGUAUCGUAGGUCUAUAGUUUUUGGCUCCCUGUCCAGCUGGUAUCGUAGGUCUAUAGUUUUUGGCUCCCUGUCCAGCUGGUAUCGUAGGUCUAUAGUGUUUGGCUCCCUGUCCAGCUGGUAUCGUAGGUCUAUAGUGUUUGUCUCCCUGUCCAUCUGGUAUCGUAGGUCUAUAGAGUUUGUCUCCCUGUCCAUCUGGUAUCAUAGGUCUAUAGUGUUUGUCUCCCUGUCCAUCUGGUAUCAUAGGUCUAUAGUUUUUGUCUCCCUGUCCAUCUGGUAUCGUAGGUCUAUAGAGUUUGUCUCCCUGUCCAUCUGGUAUCGUAGGUCUGUAGUGUUUGUCUCCCUGUCCAUCUGGUAUCGUAGGUCUAUAGUGUUUGGCUCCCUGUCCAUCUGGUAUCGUAGGUCUAUAGUGUUUGGCUCCCUGCCCAUCUGGUAUCAUAGGUCUAUAGUUUUUGGCCCUCUGUCCAGCUGGUAUCGUAGGUCUAUAGUGUUUGUCUCCCUGUCCAGCUGGUAUUGUAGGUCUAUAGAGUUUGGCUCCCUGUCCAUCUGGUAUCGUAGGUCUAUAGUGUUUGGCUCCCUGUCCAUCUGGUAUCGUAGGUCUAUAGUGUUUGUCUCCCUGUCCAUCUGGUAUCGUAGGUCUAUAGUGUUUGGCUCCCUGUCCAUCUGGUAUCGUAGGUCUAUAGUGUUUGGCUCCCUGUCCAUCUGGUAUCAUAGAUCUAUAGUUUUUGGCUCCCUGUCCAUCUGGUAAUGUAGGUCUAUAGUGUUUGUCUCCCUGUCCAGCUGGUAUUGUAGGUCUAUAGAGUUUGGCUCCCUGUCCAUCUGGUAUCGUAGGUCUAUAGUGUUUGGCUCCCUGUCCAUCUGGUAUCGUAGGUCUAUAGUGUUUGGCUCCCUGUCCAUCUGGUAUCGUAGGUCUGUAGUGUUUGGCUCCCUGUCCAUCUGGUAUCGUAGGUCUAUAGUUUUUGGCUCCCUGUCCAUCUGGUAUCGUAGGUCUAUAGUUUUGGCUCCCUGUGCUACAGGACCAAGACUUUUGCCCUCUUUCCCAACAGGCACCUGAGGUUCUAGACUUUUAGCCGCCUGUGACUCUGGGACCACAGAACCAACACCUUCGGAACCCUGUGGCUGCUGAGCUACUGGACCUUGACCUUUACCCCUCUUCCGAUCUGCCACUGCAGCAGGUCCAUAGCGUUUGGCUCCCUGUGGUUCUGGUGCCGCAGGACCAAGACUUUUGGCCUCUUUCCUAAUGGGUAUCUGAGGUCCUAAGCUUUUAGCCUCCGGUGUAUGGGAUGCCACAGGACCAGAACUUUUGACCCCUUUGCCAUUUGGAGCUGCCGGUCCAAAACCUUUGGCCCCCUGUGGCUGCUGAGCUACAGGACCAGAACUCUUAGCUUCCUUUCCCAGUGGAGCUGCAGGCCCAUAGCUUUCGACUCCCUGUGCUUGAAGAACAACAGAACAAGGGCUUUUGGGCCCUUCACAUCUGGCAAUGCAGCAGGUCCUUGGCUAUCAUGAUUGUGGCAUAAUGUGUCUACAUGCAACAUGCACCUUUAUAGAAACUGGGACAAAGACACACAUAGACAGACAAACACACAGGGUAGCAGAUGUUUACCAUUGGGUUUAGCACCCUGUCCAUUGGGCACUCCAGCUCCUGCACCAUAUCCUGAAGACCACAAUAGUGAUUACUCAACACUGGCGACUAUAGGACGGACUCAUGCAGAUACGAUGCUCUGAUCCACAAACAUAACCAUACACGGACACACCCACUUACAUACUUCACCACUUACACAAUUCCAAUCACACCACAACAAAAUAUAUAUGGCUGCCCAUUUGAAAGAAUUUGGCAGCCGAACAAUAAAGACAACCAUUGAUGGUAAGUAGAUAGACACCUGUUAAUGCACUGAGCAAACAACAUGCAUUUACACCAUGUCUGACUGAAUCAACAAAAGGCAUAAAUACUGAUUACACAGAAGAGAUUGAAAACGGCAACACGAAGAGCAGACAUGAAGGCACAAACUGAAAAACGCAGGUAAAAACAAACCAACAUGAAUGCGGACACGGACGGACACGGACGGACACAGCAGGAUUGGAAAGUUUACCCGGUUUUGGUCCCUUAGAUCCCUGUCCAUUGGGAUACCCAGCUCCAGCACCUAAUGUUUGCAAAGGGGCACUGUCAACUGGAAUUAUCAAACUCCACAUGCAGGGUAUGAGGUACAGAGGCUUUGCAGCAAUCAACCACAUUGCUUGUACAGAUGUAGGAUCUUAAUUUCAGCCAGUUUGCUACAGCAGGAAAAUAAUCCUGCUGCGACAGAAAAUGUGAAUUAUUAUGUGAUUAGAAUUCAUCUUUAAGAGUAAAUUGACGCACCUGUGCAUCAAUCUAAGUAACAUUAUUAAAAAAUCCCCAACAAAACCAGUCAGUUUAAUGGACAUUUAUGUAGGGGUUGAUAUAUUUUUCAUUAGGGCAAAUUAAGUCUGAAAUUUCAAAGUGGAAAAUCUUUUAAAACUCAAAUUUUGCAAAUGAAGAUCCUACAUCUGUAAAGCCAGUUUACAGAUGCUUGGUGUCUAUGUAGGACCCGGCUGGCUAAUGUACACUGUACAGUGUACAGUAUGCAGAUGACAAUUUGGAAGAUGCGUGAUAUGGAAAUCCCCACUGAUUUAUUGAUUGGGAUUGACAGUUUGUUCAAUGAAUUAAGUGCUUGAGGUGUGAGCUGUAAAAAAUAUGAACCCUGGCUUGUAAAAUAGUAGACUAUAGUAUUGGCCUUUAGAUGGUUCAGGCCAGCAGGGAUUGGCUGCUUACCUGGUCGUGGAUAGCCUCUGGCUCCAGUUCCAGGCCCGUAACCU